This 519-nucleotide ribosomal RNA is filed under the name Microbacterium phyllosphaerae. Its description in RNAcentral is "bacterial SSU rRNA". It matches the Rfam family "Bacterial small subunit ribosomal RNA", at positions 66 to 597 of the family's 1533-position model. Lineage: Bacteria; Bacillati; Actinomycetota; Actinomycetes; Micrococcales; Microbacteriaceae. The record is from RNAcentral.
ACGGUGAAGCCCAGCUUGCUGGGUGGAUCAGUGGCGAACGGGUGAGUAACACGUGAGCAACCUGCCCCGGACUCUGGGAUAAGCGCUGGAAACGGCGUCUAAUACUGGAUACGAGACGCAACCGCAUGGUUAGUGUCUGGAAAGAUUUUUCGGUCUGGGAUGGGCUCGCGGCCUAUCAGCUUGUUGGUGAGGUAAUGGCUCACCAAGGCGUCGACGGGUAGCCGGCCUGAGAGGGUGACCGGCCACACUGGGACUGAGACACGGCCCAGACUCCUACGGGAGGCAGCAGUGGGGAAUAUUGCACAAUGGGCGGAAGCCUGAUGCAGCAACGCCGCGUGAGGGAUGACGGCCUUCGGGUUGUAAACCUCUUUUAGCAAGGAAGAAGCGAAAGUGACGGUACUUGCAGAAAAAGCGCCGGCUAACUACGUGCCAGCAGCCGCGGUAAUACGUAGGGCGCAAGCGUUAUCCGGAAUUAUUGGGCGUAAAGAGCUCGUAGGCGGUCUGUCGCGUCUGCUGUGA